Molecule: non-coding RNA, 29 nt
Filed under: Homo sapiens (human)
Lineage: Eukaryota; Metazoa; Chordata; Mammalia; Primates; Hominidae
Source: RNAcentral
GAGGAAGGUGCAGGCUGCCAUACGGUAUC